UAAACAAACAAGACCAAAUGUAAUGUUUGACACAUGUAGCCUAGCAUCCAACAUUAAGAAUGAUACUGUUCAGUCCAUACAUGAAAUGAAAGUCACACUUAAGUUCCAACACUUGGGAAACAGUGAAGAUUUAAGUUUAGUGGCUUUCAGUGAUGCCUCACUAGGCAAUCUUCAGGAUGGAGGUACACAGGAAGGGGCUUUAAUUGUCCUCAUGGAAAAAACAGUAAAGUGUUCCCCUUUGUUUUGGCAAUCUAAGAAAAUCAAACGUGUGGUAAGAAGCACGCUGGCAGGAGAAACCCUUGCGAUUGUAGCAGCACUACCCAGACGGGUUGAAUGAUAAGUGCUUUAAUUAGAGACAGGUGUGCUAUGGGUGUAGGUGUGCAUAAAAGGAAGGUUUCCAGCAUUGUUUGAGGCUGACGGGUGGUUGCUGCUGUGACUUUGGACGUUGAAUGCCUAAUGUUUUCUUAGUGGAUUUUUUGAGCCGUUUGGGACCAGCAUUUGAUUGUGGACUUGCUGCAUUUUGGUAUACAUGCCAUGUGGAGUUUAUCCAUCACUGGAUGUGUCAGCAGUGCCGACUCUCUAAUAAUCAGCUUAAAGCACUCCGGAGGUAUAUGCCCAUAUGACACUGGGUAGCGGAUUUGGAUGGUGGCCCAGCUUCCCCUUCUUGGUGUUUUAUUAUUAUUUUUCUAAUUUUUUUGUUUAAGUAUCUGCCUAGCGGCUUACUUCUGUGACACCUGGUCCACCCCUUCAUUUGUGCCGUCCGCAUUAAGUGGCCUGUUCCUGGGAAUAACUGUGGGACAGGGUAUUAGUUUUUCUCAGUCGCUUUGGUGCAUUUCUCACAUCACUAUUUACAUUCGCACAACAGUUAGUUCAACCUCCACAACAUUUAGUCAUUUGUGCACGUCAUAGUAGCAGUUUCUCAUUCCUUCGAACAAAUUGCAAAUGCUUUUGGACAUGCAUCAAUUGCUUUCAUACAAUUCUCUGCUGUUUUAUAACAUUAUCAUUUGUUUGUCAUGUCAGUCAAAAUUAACUAUACUUGUGAAUGCUGAAUAGUCAUUCCAUGUAAAACUAAUAGUCCUUAUUUGAUUGCUUCAGUCAUUACAUACAAAAAUUUUCAAGUUUUUUUAAGUCUUUUUUUCUCCGAAAAGUCUCCUAAAUUGAACAAUUUUUGAGAUGAUGUGGCCAGACAGAGGAAUGUCUGGAUGUACAAGAAUGAUUACAGUACUAUGUCUGUUGUAUGUUCGUUCCAAUAUGUACUGCAAUGUUUUUUACAGUUGUGCACAGCCAAAGUUUGUUUGUUGUAAAUAAGGAUGUAUUUUUUUCUUUUGCACAAUACUAUGAACAGAUUAGAAUUGCAAAUAGGGAUGGGACGAUUACCGGUUUCACGAUUAACCAUGAUAAAAUGUCCUGACGGUUAGUAUUAUCGUUUAAAAUGUAAUUAUCAUUAUAACCGUGUUUGAUUACCGUGAUUUUGAAAACUCGCGGUAAAUCCUGUCCAGCCAGAAUCAGCUUGACGCAGGCGCUCGCAUGCAACAUUAGCUUUUGUGCGAGAAGGCGUGGCGGAUGCAGUAACAGGUGCACUGUGUUUUAAUGCGUUGCUUAUGUGUGCAUUUGUUUUUAUUUAAGCUACUGUUCAUUAAAACAGGUUCAUACAUUUCAGGGCUCCAUGUUAAUGUUCAUUUAAUGCAGGGGUGUCCAACACAACCAGUCGAUCGCAAAUGCAAUGCGGGUAGAUCGCCUAUAAGUUAAUAACUGUAUGCUGCUCCACGCCUCCACGAGCUUCGGAAAGCAAAGCGCCAAAUUGGCAUUAUGGUCUUAGAAGUCUUUUUGAGUUGUUGCGCAUUUCUUCUCAAGUGUGUUUUUAUAAAUCUUAUGCCUGCCCGCUGCAGCGGAGUCGUCUAACUUCCGAAAUUUGAAUGCACAUACAUGCUGGAGUUGAUCCACACGUACGGUGUAUGUGCGCGCGAUCGAUCGACCGAAUGAGAGAGAAAUGCUUCUGAUAAUGUUGUCAGUUUAUUUCAUCAAAACCGCAUCUCCGCUAUAUGGUCUCACCAUGUACUCAAUGAUUUUUUUUAACUCCUCAAAAAGAAUAGAGUAAUGGUGACAACCCUAAAUUCAACGUAGAGAUAGUCCUCCUAACACACAUUUAAAGUGUUAUUAAAAAAUGUAACUGUUUUGUUAAAUGUUUUUUAGCAGGUAGGUUUUGUCAGCUUUAUCAUUUUAAAAGUAGAUUCCCACACAAAAAAAGGCCGGACACCCCUGAUUUAAUGUUUAUGCUUAAAAAAGUGCAUAUAGCUGCUAAUUGUAUUUGUUGUUUGCCGAUUUUCAAAAAUAAAACUUGUUAAAAUUUUUCAGUGUGUGUAUCAGUUCUUUUUGAACACUUCCAUCUCAAUUUAAGAAAACCAUGAUAAUAUUGAUAACCGUGAUAACUUUGGUCACUAUAAUCAUGAUAUGAAAUUUUCAAACCAUCCCAUCCCUAAUUGCAAAGAGCAUAUGCAGUGAAAAUGUGAAACAUACAUAUUCAGUGUCUUGUACUCAGUUACCUCACUAAAUACAGUAAUGUGUAACUUUAUUGUAUUUUUCAAAUAGCUGUGGAAAAGUGUAUAGUCUUGAGUAUUUUCAGGUAGUGUCACCAAGAUUUUACUUUUUUGCAUUGGAAAACAUUUAUAAAGUAAACUGUCAUAAUGAAAACAUGACUAAGCCACUUGACUAUCUUGUUCAUAAACAAUGGUGUCAGGACUUUUCAUUUUGAUGACACUGACACUUUCAUUGACAUGAAUACUUGCUUUUGAGGAAUGUCCUAUCCAUUUUGAGCAAGUGACACACUUUUGCAGGUUAUCAACUAGGUUUUGCAGUUUGUACUAAUUGUUUUGAGAACUGCAUUAACUGUUGUGCAAAUGUAAAUAGUGAUGUGAGAAAUGCACCAAAGCGACUGGGAAAAACUGUAAGUUGGGCAUUCGCUACCCCGUAUUGUUUCAACUGGAGGAGGUUUGCGUGGUUGUAUGGUACAUUUGUGGUCGUGUGCAUGAGUUAAGUUAAGGUGUGUGUGACUUAUAGCGUGUGUAUAGUGUGAGAAUGACAUGUCGUUUAAUGUGCGUGCGUGAAUUAUAGAGGGUGUGCGUGUGGUAAAUAGAUUAUGGUUUAAGUGAGGAAUGAGUGCUAGUUUGUUUACUUUAUUUUGUAUUUGUUAUAAACUAUGAUGUGAUUUAUUUAGUUUUCUUUGUUUAUUUGAUUUAAUAUUGGUUUCACAAGUGUGUUUAUUUGGUUAUUUUGUGGAGCUGUGGUAUUUUAUUCAACUGUUAGGUCGGUCAGGGAGGAGUGUUAACCUCAAUUUAUUUUUUUGUAAUUGUUCACUGAGUAGUUUGUGUAACUUUGUUUCUUUGAAACACGUGUGGUGAAGUGAGCCCAAAGAAACUUGUAUUUAAAGUGUGUUGUGAAGUGGAAAUUUGCUUUUCUUUCUCCCUGUUAUCCGAUCUGAACUUUUGAUGUCUGGAACCUAAUCCAGUGUUUUUAAAUGAAGCUAGCUUCACUAGUCUUGUGUUAAAGAUUACAUUAAAUUGUGGUUUUACUUUCUGUAUAAAUAAAGUAUUGUUGUU
This is a long non-coding RNA of Misgurnus anguillicaudatus (oriental weatherfish), 3596 nucleotides long. RefSeq lists it as uncharacterized. NCBI's taxonomy places the organism in Eukaryota, Metazoa, Chordata, Actinopteri, Cypriniformes, Cobitidae. The record is from RefSeq and is a predicted model, not a curated record.